AAACCAAAGCUGGCGACCGGCGCACGGGUGAGUAACACGUAUCCAACCUGCCUCAUACUCGGGGGUAGCCUUUCGAAAGAAAGAUUAAUAUCCGAUAGCAUAUAUUUCCCGCAUGGGUUUUAUAUUAAAGAAAUUCGGUAUGAGAUGGGGAUGCGUUCCAUUAGUUUGUUGGCGGGGUAACGGCCCACCAAGACUACGAUGGAUAGGGGUUCUGAGAGGAAGGUCCCCCACAUUGGAACUGAGACACGGUCCAAACUCCUACGGGAGGCAGCAGUGAGGAAUAUUGGUCAAUGGACGCGAGUCUGAACCAGCCAAGUAGCGUGAAGGAUGACUGCCCUAUGGGUUGUAAACUUCUUUUAUAUGGGAAUAAAGUGGUCCACGUGUGGAUUUUUGUAUGUACCAUAUGAAUAAGGAUCGGCUAACUCCGUGCCAGCAGCCGCGGUAAUACGGAGGAUCCGAGCGUUAUCCGGAUUUAUUGGGUUUAAAGGGAGCGUAGGCGGAUUGUUAAGUCAGUUGUGAAAGUUUGCGGCUCAACCGUAAAAUUGCAGUUGAUACUGGCAGUCUUGAGUGCAGUAGAGGUGGGCGGAAUUCGUGGUGUAGCGGUGAAAUGCUUAGAUAUCACGAAGAACUCCGAUUGCGAAGGCAGCUCACUGGAGUGUAGCUG
RNAcentral lists this ribosomal RNA (664 nucleotides) under uncultured Bacteroidales bacterium. Its description in RNAcentral is "bacterial SSU rRNA". It matches the Rfam family "Bacterial small subunit ribosomal RNA", at positions 79 to 742 of the family's 1533-position model. The record is from RNAcentral. Lineage: Bacteria; Pseudomonadati; Bacteroidota; Bacteroidia; Bacteroidales.